GUGAUUAAAUCGAGCGUGUCUUCAUUGACUGCUCACCCUUCUCACCAUCCACAUACACCUGUGCACUGUUUAGCCUGAGCCGGUUUUCCGGUCCAGGUUAUCAUUUCAUACAAACUCUAGUCUUAUGAAUGUAAACGUUUUAAUAACAUAAUA
Molecule: unclassified non-coding RNA, 153 nt
Filed under: soil metagenome
Description: partial internal transcribed spacer 1
Source: RNAcentral